This is a long non-coding RNA of Copidosoma floridanum, 1378 nucleotides long. RefSeq lists it as uncharacterized. The record is from RefSeq and is a predicted model, not a curated record. NCBI's taxonomy places the organism in Eukaryota, Metazoa, Arthropoda, Insecta, Hymenoptera, Encyrtidae.
CGUUGAGUCGUAAGCAUCGAGCGAUCGCUGCCUUUUAUCCCUUCACGAUUAUAUUCGCACACUUAUACACAUAACGCAUUUUUCAACACCAAAGCUAGCGAUAGACGACGUUACAUUGCAGCUGCGGAAAGAAAUGCCGGCAUCAUCGGUGGACAGCAAGAAGCGGAGGAGUUCGCUGAAGGUGGCGAUGCAAACCCACGAGACGAAGAACAUCCUGACGACAUAUGCGAUCCUUUUGCUACUACUCAUUGCACUGUAUCUUCUCUACUCGGGAGUAUUUGUUUAAAUAAAUAGAUAUGAUUGAUUCGGGCUGACGCGCACCGGGACUCGGGCGCAAGGGAGCGCUCCCACACGCAAAUACCCACACUCGCCCAAACAAUCCCGUGACAGUCCUCAGCCGCCAGACAAACAUUCACACUUUCAUCGCCAAAACCACAUCCGCAACCAGCAUCAGCAAGGAAUUACGUCUCGUGUAGAAAUAUUGCCAUCAUCCUUACCUCGCAUCAUAUAGAAAAAACAAAAAAAACAAAAAAAAUUCUCGUGAUUAAAAAUAAACAAGUUAUGAGCGUAGUACGUAUAAAUCGCGACCGGAUGGGUAUUGGAGGUUUUUUGCGGUCAGAAUACAUGUAUGUUAGUUCCGCGCCGCCGAAUAUUUUCAUCGGCUUUUAAUUUAUGGCUCAACCUCGUGACAUUUUUUGUCCCAGUUUCUUAAUUUUACGUAUGUAUAUAUAUAGAGGUAUGCACACGCGUUAUUUUUUUAUUGCACAAUAUCCGACUUGGGCCAAUAUCAGGAAAAUCAUAUACUAUUAUUAUUAGCUAAUUGGUGUGGGACAAACGACAAGACCAAUUAUCUCGCUCCAUCAAAACUGUACAGAUGUGUCAGAGCUGCCGGAAAAGAAUUCACCAAGAGAAACGUAGGAUAGGAAAAAAAAAGAAAAAAAAAAGUCGGAAAAUCUACGUGUGUGGUACAAAAAAUCGAGAAUAGGGAGGAAGAAGAACGUGUACGAUCCGACUAUUUUUGUUAAAAAUUCUUACUGCGUCUAUGUGGACCACAAGCGGCUGACUCGCUACAUCAUCAACGUUGAGUGCGAAAAAUUGCGAAAAAUUGCCAAAAAAUAAAAAAAAUAAUUAGAAACGCUAGGCGAGUGAACGAGCAAAUCGAGCGAGUCUCUGGGAGCGUGGGCGCGAUCGGUCGAAAAUAACUGAUACUUCCAGAUAGCCGUGGCCAGCUUUUCGAGAGACGUGAUCUAUAUUUUCAGAGGCUAACCUGCUUAAAAAUAACAUCUUUGGCUCUUGGGCAGGGAGGAAAAAAAAACCACCUGGAGAUGUGCGUGCGCGAUGAAGUGAUUUUUUUUUUUUUUUUUUUUUUUUUUUGUUC